Long non-coding RNA from Vanessa atalanta (red admiral), 385 nucleotides. RefSeq lists it as uncharacterized. The transcript has 2 exons. Lineage: Eukaryota; Metazoa; Arthropoda; Insecta; Lepidoptera; Nymphalidae. The record is from RefSeq and is a predicted model, not a curated record.
UGAUUUGCUUUAUAAAGUACUUUACAUUGUAUAAAAUGUCAUUUCAUUUGAUAAAAUAACCGAGUAUAGACGCGUUAUUUGGUGUAAAAUCAAAAUAACAGUUUCAUUAUUUAACGUUGUCGAAAUAAAUAUGAACAAUUCAAAGAAACCUUAUUAUACACCCGUCGCAAGUGUAUAUCAGAAACCAACGAAUCUUCUCCCACCAUUGCCACCGCCAAGCCCCAAGCCACCACAGCCUAAAUCUACUGUUUUAACCAAAAACGUCAAGCCCAGAAUGAUAUAGAGCUCAAGAUUAAAAAUACAUAUUGAAAUUUAAUAAGUAUAUAAUAAAAAAUACCUUAUCUAUUGCAGAAACAACUAUUUAUUAGAUCUACGUGUCGCUAAA